ACGCCGCACCACCGUCAAUCACGCGAUGAAGACCGCGCGUUCGGCAUGGAAUACGGUAUCACGCGCCAAUCCGGGCAUAUUUCCUCCGAAGAAUCCAUUCGAGAAGAUGGGUCUGCAGUCGAACUCUCGGGAAACGCCGCAUGCGACGUUCGCCGAGUUGGCGGCGUUCCGGGCCAAAGCGAUCGAAAUGGGCUAUUCCUCGCUCGCCACUGGCGUUUUGAUUGGGUGGGAGCUGCUUCAGCGCGAGGCGCACAUCUUCAUCCGUUUCGUGGCCGAACAUUACCGGCCUCCGAGCCGGCCAAACCACGUCUAUGUCAUCAACUACAAGACGAGUACGGGCUCGUGGGAGCCACUGUUCAAUGCCAAAGGCAA
This 372-nucleotide unclassified non-coding RNA is filed under the name Hevea brasiliensis (rubber tree). Lineage: Eukaryota; Viridiplantae; Streptophyta; Magnoliopsida; Malpighiales; Euphorbiaceae. The record is from RNAcentral.